UUCAGAGGCUGAGGUGAUCGCGGUCGGAGCUGCUCACGCAGCUCGCAGAUCGAGGAAAGUCCGGGCCCCACAGGGCAGGGUGCUUGCGAAAUGCAAGUCGGGGUGACCCGCAGGAAAGUGCCACAGAAAGCAAACCACCGGCGUUCGCGUCGGAAAGGGUGAAAGGGUGCGGUAAGAGCGCACCGGUCCCUCGGUGACGAGGGUCGCAUGGUAAACCCCACUCGGAGCAAGGCCGAACAGGGACACGUCUCGAGCCUUCGGGUGACAGACAAGGGGUGGCCCGCCCCGUCCCGGGUAGUGCCGCGUAGAAGAAUGAUCACCACCUGAGCGAGGCAACGAACUCAGGGACAAAACCCGGCUUACGAUCCUCUGAGCCCC
This 378-nucleotide RNase P RNA is filed under the name Enhygromyxa salina. Its description in RNAcentral is "RNase P RNA component class A". It matches the Rfam family "Bacterial RNase P class A". Rfam says of the family: Ribonuclease P (RNase P) is a ubiquitous endoribonuclease, found in archaea, bacteria and eukarya as well as chloroplasts and mitochondria. Its best characterised activity is the generation of mature 5'-ends of tRNAs by cleaving the 5'-leader elements of precursor-tRNAs. Lineage: Bacteria; Pseudomonadati; Myxococcota; Nannocystales; Nannocystaceae. The record is from RNAcentral.